UCAAGUUAUUAAGGGUGCAGGGCGGAUGCCUUGGCACUAGGAGCCGAUGAAGGACGUGAUAAGCUGCGAUAAGCUUCGGGGAGUUGCACGUAAACUUUGAUCCGAAGAUUUCCGAAUGAGGAAACUCACUUAGAGUAAUGUCUAAGUAUCAUUAAGUGAAUACAUAGCUUAAUGAGGGGAACUCAGGGAACUGAAACAUCUAAGUACCUGAAGGAAGAGAAAGAAAUUCGAUUCCGUAAGUAGCGGCGAGCGAACGCGGAUUAGCCCAAACCAAUAAAGUUUUCUUUAUUGGGGUUGCGGACAUAUCAUAACGAAGAGGUAUCGUAAUUGAAGAGGUUUGGAAAGACCCACCACAGAAGGUAAUAGUCCUGUAUGUUAAACGAGAAGACUUUAGAUAUGAUCCAGAGUACCACGGGACACGUGAAACCCUGUGGGAAGCAGGAGGGACCACCCUCCAAGGCUAAAUACUACCUAGUGACCGAUAGCGUAUAGUACCGUGAGGGAAAGGUGAAAAGAACCCCGGGAGGGGAGUGAAAUAGAACCUGAAACCCUGCACUUACAAGCUGUGGAAGCACAUUUCUUGUGUGACCGCGUACUUUUUGUAGAACGGGCCAACGAGUUACGUUAAGUAGCAAGGUUAAGCACUUAAGGUGCGGAGCCGUAGCGAAAGCGAGUUUUAACUGAGCGUUCAGUUACUUGACGUAGACCCGAAACCGGGCGACCUACCCAUGAGCAGGAUGAAGCGAAAGUAAAAUUUCGUGGAGGUCCGAACCCACGAGCGUUGAAAAGCUCGGGGAUGACUUGUGGGUAGCGGUGAAAUUCCAAUCGAGCCCGGAGAUAGCUGGUUCUCCCCGAAAUAGCUUUAGGGCUAGCCUCAAGGUGAGAGAUACGGAGGUAGAGCACUGAAUGUCCUAGGGGGUAUUGCACCUACCGAAGACUAUCAAACUCCGAAUGCCGUCAUCUUAUACUUGGGAGUCAGACUGUGGGUGAUAAGAUUCAUAGUCGAAAGGGCAACAGCCCAGAUCGUCAGCUAAGGUCCCUAAAUGUAAGUUAAGUGGUAAAGGAUGUGGGAUUGCACAGACAACCAGGAUGUUGGCUUAGAAGCAGCCACUCAUUCAAAGAGUGCGUAAUAGCUCACUGGUCGAGUGAUCCUGCGCCGAAGAUUUCCGGGGCUAAAACUUACUACCGAAGCUACGGCAUCAGUAAUGAUGGGUAGGGGAGCUUCCCAUACGGGUUGAAGCAUGACCGUAAGGACAUGUGGACAGUAUGGGAGUGAGAAUGUUGGCAUGAGUAGCGAGAUGUGGGUGAGAAUCCCACAGGCCGUAAACCCAAGGUUUCCAGGGGAAGGUUCGUCCGCCCUGGGUUAGUCGGGACCUAAGCUGAGGCCGAAAGGCGUAGGUGAUGGACAACAGGUUGAUAUUCCUGUACUACCGAUAACCGUUUGAGAGAAGGGAUGACACAGUAGGAUAAGCUAAGCACACUGUUGGUUAUGUGUGCCCAAGCAUUGAGGCAGUCAAAGUAGGCAAAUCCGCUUUGAUAAUGCUGGGAUGUGAUGGGGAGCGAAAUUUAGUAGCGAAGUAGCUGAUUUCACACUGUCAAGAAAAGUCUCUAUCGAGGUUAAAGGUACCCGUACCGCAAACCGACACAGGUGGGUGAGGAGAGUAUCCUAAGGCCAGCGAGAGAACUGUUGUUAAGGAACUCGGCAAAAUGACCCCGUAACUUAGGGAUAAGGGGUGCCACCAUCAGGUGGCCGCAGAGAAUAGGCCCAAGCGACUGUUUACCAAAAACAUAGGUUUCUGCUAAGUCGCAAGACGAUGUAUAGGAGCUGACGCCUGCCCGGUGCUGGAAGGUUAAGGGGAUCUGUUAGAGCAAUCGAAGCAGUGAACUUAAGCCCCAGUAAACGGCGGCCGUAACUAUAACGGUCCUAAGGUAGCGAAAUUCCUUGUCGGGUAAGUUCCGACCCGCACGAAAGGCGUAACGAUUUGGGCACUGUCUCAACAACAGACUCGGUGAAAUUGUAAUUCCGGUGAAGAUGCCGGAUACCUGCGACAGGACGGAAAGACCCCAUGGAGCUUUACUGUAGCUUGACAUUGGGUCUUGGUACUACAUGUACAGGAUAGGUGGGAGGCUUUGAAACCAGGACGCCAGUUUUGGCGGAGCCAUCCUUGGGAUACCACCCUUGUAGUACUGGGACUCUAACCAUAGGCCAUGAAUCUGGUCUUGGGACACUGUCAGGUGGGCAGUUUGACUGGGGCGGUCGCCUCCCAAAAGGUAACGGAGGCGCUCAAAGGUUCUCUCAGUACGGUCGGAAAUCGUACGUAGAGUGUAAAGGCAAAAGAGAGCUUGAUUGCAAGACAUACAGGUCGAGCAAGGAUGAAAAUCGGACUUAGUGAUCCGGUGGUUCUGCGUGGAAGGGCCAUCGCUCAACGGAUAAAAGCUACCCUGGGGAUAACAGGCUUAUCUCCCCCAAGAGUCCACAUCGACGGGGAGGUUUGGCACCUCGAUGUCGGCUCAUCACAUCCUGGGGCUGUAGUAGGUCCCAAGGGUUGGGCUGUUCGCCCAUUAAAGUGGUACGCGAGCUGGGUUCAGAACGUCGUGAGACAGUUCGGUCCCUAUCCGUCGCAGGCGUAGGAAAUUUGAGAAGACCUGUCCUUAGUACGAGAGGACCGGGAUGGACGUACCUCUGGUGUACCAGUUGUCCUGCCAAGGGCAUGGCUGGGUAGCUAUGUACGGAAUGGAUAAGCGCUGAAAGCAUCUAAGCGCGAAGCCAACUUCAAGAUAAGAUUUCCCACCG
This 2794-nucleotide ribosomal RNA is filed under the name Clostridioides difficile. RNAcentral describes it as "bacterial LSU rRNA". It matches the Rfam family "Bacterial large subunit ribosomal RNA". The record is from RNAcentral. Lineage: Bacteria; Bacillati; Bacillota; Clostridia; Peptostreptococcales; Peptostreptococcaceae.